GCCCCUGUAGCAUAAUUUAAUAAUGCACGUCCUCGACUAAGACGGCGAUGCAGGUUUGAAUCCUGCCGGGGGCA
Molecule: transfer RNA, 74 nt
Filed under: Candidatus Omnitrophota bacterium
Lineage: Bacteria; Pseudomonadati; Candidatus Omnitrophota
Description: Candidatus Omnitrophica bacterium (sediment metagenome) tRNA-OTHER
Rfam family: tRNA
About the family: Transfer RNA (tRNA) molecules are approximately 80 nucleotides in length. Their secondary structure includes four short double-helical elements and three loops (D, anti-codon, and T loops).
Source: RNAcentral